AAACUGUAAGUAGACUGUGAUCACAACUACGCCAACAAGAACUGAUGGAAAAGGGAAGGAAACAUAUUAAAAUGCUAACAAAGGCUGCAUUACAGGAGUAGAACAAAGGAAAACAGCAAAUGCACAUCAGAAAUUGCAAAGCUGUUUUUGAGAAAACAAGAUUCCACCAACGUGAAGAGGUAUGAAGAAUAUAUGAAGAUGUAAUACUGACAGAGCAGCCAGCACACUAGCUCCAGCAUAUUGACCCGGCAAUGGCAGAGGAACAAGAAGAGCGUUGGAAUCACCAAGGCCUCUCAAGGUCUAUGUUUUUCUAGAUUCAGGAGCUGGCAUGCUGUGGCUUCUACAUCGUUCUGUUGGCCAAAGCAGGUCACAUGUUCAAGCUCAACGUCAAGGAGAAGGGAAGAAGCCCAGCUUAUCACAGCGGACAUGACAAAGGGGAUGAAUAGAAGAAAGGCAGCAGUGUGGAAUUUUCUGGCAACACCUGCAGUAAUGACCCUGGCUUUGAGAAUCCAUUAAUUCCUCUCCAUCAGCUUGGAUCGAGCACUUAGACAACUCUGGGCACCACGGUUUUGUGCACAACAGAGCCAUCUUCCUAUUGAAAUGUAAUGUAAAAAUCUGGGACAAUGUCAACAUGGGAAAUAGCAUUUAUUCUCUUUAUAGAUAAUGGAAAACUUGUAUUUGUUAAUCAGGUCACAUCUCCCUAAAAUAUUAUAACUUAACACUUAUAAAGAUCUUUCUAAUAAAUUAACACAGUUUCUCACUCCAAAAGGGUGAA
This is a long non-coding RNA of Lutra lutra (Eurasian river otter), 775 nucleotides long. RefSeq lists it as uncharacterized. The transcript is spliced from 4 exons. Lineage: Eukaryota; Metazoa; Chordata; Mammalia; Carnivora; Mustelidae. The record is from RefSeq and is a predicted model, not a curated record.